AUUGAAAUCCAACAAAAAUUUCAUGGUCAAUCCUUAUGUAAUUGCUUUAGAUCAAAUCCAGCAAAUUAUAAUAUAAUCCAUAGUUGUCCAUCAUAUUCCAAACUCCAUGUAUCAUAAUAUUUUGUGAUCCUUUAUGCAUAAUCACAAUAUUUAACUAAAAAUCAUAAAGAUACCUCACACUACAAUCAUCAUAGAUCUAUACCACAAUGUCUUUAAUGCUG
Molecule: long non-coding RNA, 221 nt
Filed under: Elaeis guineensis (African oil palm)
Lineage: Eukaryota; Viridiplantae; Streptophyta; Magnoliopsida; Arecales; Arecaceae
Description: long non-coding RNA (EGUI_LNC061249)
Source: RNAcentral